This is a long non-coding RNA of Solanum pennellii, 1123 nucleotides long. RefSeq lists it as uncharacterized. The record is from RefSeq and is a predicted model, not a curated record. The transcript has 2 exons. Lineage: Eukaryota; Viridiplantae; Streptophyta; Magnoliopsida; Solanales; Solanaceae.
GAUAUCUGCACAUAAGUAGAUGUCAAAGCAAGGUCUUGCAGAUUACAACCACGUACAUCAAAAUGGGUACUGAUAGGAAACUUCUCUAACGUUUCGAACUUUUACGUGGGAGAGGCAGGCUCAGGGCUUAUGUGAACGAACAUCAAAGUUUUGGCUUGCCCUCCUACAAGAAAGUCAUGUACCAAAAACCAAUCAUUACUAGACAGGAAGAAAUGAGUCAUGAGAACAAUCGAGUUCCAUUAUCUACUUAUAUCCUACCAAGUGAGUCUUGUAGAAGCUGUGUAAGUUUGCUGUUACGGUAUGGGACAUGUGCAUUCUUUUGGGCAAGAGCAGAGAUAACAUCACCCAAAGCUGAAAGAGACUUGUUAAUGUGCUGAGCCUCUUUAAGUCUAUCUCCUGUUACUUCAGAUUUGUUCACUCUCUCACUUCCUGCAAGAUCAACCAAAUGCAUACAACCACGAAGAAUAGCUCCAGAAGCCACAUCUCUACCCUGAACAUGAACUGUUAGGCAACUGCACAUUCAAGACCAGAAAGAAUUAGCAUCUCCACUAUAAGUUUCUUACAAAGCACUAGAAAUCAAAUUAAGAGAAAGAAAAGAUUCUGCAUUCAGACCUGUGGGAGCGGCUACUGCGGUCGUUGAGCGCUGUUGCACCCACUGAACGAUUCUUUUGCCCUAAAUUCAUCAGAUCAAUAACAUCACAAGUUGAAGCUACACGAACCAAGCUUGCAUCUGGUACAGUUAGUCCUUGAGAAGCACUACGGAUUUCUAACGUAAUUCUGGGUUAAGGAAUGCAGGAGUAUUAAGGCUUUAAGCACGACAGGUUGAGAUCAACACAUUGUGUAAAAACACAUAGCUUAACGUCACUUAAAAAGUAAAUAAUAUAACAAUGUUUGUUGCCAAACAUUCAAUAUAUCCAGAAGAAGAUUAGUAAAGAUCAUUAAAAUGUAAAUGAUGAGAUAUUGAGAAGGAUAUCUUUUGUUUACACCAUCAGAAGCUAGGAGAUCCCUAACUUGCUCAUUGUAUAUCUCAAUCAUCUGUACAGACACAUCAUAGUGGAUGGUGUCCUUUCUUUGUUCUGCGAGAAGGAAUAGAUCACCUAAAGCCCUGUAGUUUACUCCUUGA